UCCGCUAUUCAACCUGCUAACCGUAGGGUUGGCGGUUCGAUUCCCACCCCACACGACUCCACAUGCCGAAGUGUCCUUGGGCAAGACGCUGAAGCUAGCGCCUUGCAUGGCACAUCUGCUACCAUUGGUGUGUGAAUGGGUAAAUGAGAACCAGUGUAAAGCGCUUUGGAACUGCUAAGGUUAAAAAAAGAGCGCUAUAUAAGCGCAGACCAUUUACUAACAUUUCAUUUUGUGCUGGAAAACUAAUGUUUGGAAAUCUCAAAUGUUUUUGUACUGACUCGAUAAUGUAGAAGUCAUAAGAUAAAAAAAAAUCCAUAACAAAGUUUGUGCUAAAAAAAAAAAAGUAGGGUGCCUAAAACUUUUGCACAAUACUGUAAAUGAUGUUCACAUAUAAAGUAACCCCCCCCCCCCCCCCCAUUCGGCAACUAAAUGGGCCCGGAGGCGCUGCUGUUUUUCCCAGCGCAAUAUGUUUAUGUUUCAGUUUUUUUCUCAUGCCCGUUACGUUUCUCUUUUAAGUUUUUCCCCCGUUCCCUUAUGUUCGUCUGUUUUCAUUUUCCCUGUUAUAAAAACCUCAUCGGCUCCCUAAGGCAUGAUCAUUUUGGUCAUCAACGCGUGAAGACCUUGACUUUUUUCUUCAAUCUCCCGUUCCUGUUCACUAUGGGUGAGUGCAUACAUUUGACUUGCUUUCUGCAAUCAUUGCUAUUGUCUUCUUCUUAUCAUUAUUUAUGAUAAACAUCUAUUCCUUAUAUUUGAUCCUGUGUGUGCGUGUGUGUUGUAGCACUUCAUGUAAUGCCUAACUUUAGUGUGGCUUCCUCUGUGUGUGGGAGAGUGUACCCUGACUUCUUCUUAGGAGAAAUAACACAGCAGAACUCACGAAGACUGGAUUCGGAUGAAGAAGGUUUAUCAGCAAGACAGAAAAUAACCCGAACUGGUCCCAGGGAUACACACUACAUGGAGAUGUAGCUUGCAGCAAAGCACCGUCGGUUACAAUGCUCUUUAUAUACAUUUCAGGCAUGGCACCAUAUCUAACUUUAACCAAUCAUUCACAGUUCCCUUUUGGGUGCAUCCAAUCACAAUCUUCCACACAUAACCUAGUUACAUCAUUUCCCAUUACUUCUAACAGGCCCCAAGUUUUUCCAAUUAAUGCAUCUGUAGAUGAACCAUUGUGUUUCUCUUGGUUUACUUUUCCCUCCAGUGAACGUCACUAUUUGCCUAUAUGUUCUCUACCAUUUUGCUUAAUCUUUACUUACCCUCGAUGCCUUCUACCAAGGACGAGUUUUACAUUCUCCCACUGUGUCUGAAUUAUGUCUUUCAGUCCUCGGUCAGCCUUACAGCCUUUUAUUUCUCUUAACUCUUAUUUCUGUGCUGCUAUGAGCUAGGAAGUGCGGUUUACCACAGAGUAUCCAGGUGCCUGGAGAGUCUAAAUGAACAUACACACUGACACACAUGCUGUUCACAGAGACUUCCAGUUUAUGUAGUCUAGAACAGAAGUAUUUAUACACAUAGAUAACAACAUUGCGUGGGCGGGUUUCUACUUGUGCAGGUGCUAGAAGGAUGUAGACAAAACACACAGCACACUACAAUAAUAAGUCUUUUCAAGAUAUAGAGAACACAUGUGUCAGCUAUAAUAAAGGAUAGCAGUUGAUCAGCUUAUUCAGAAGAGGUAAUUAAGUGAAUACAUUCAUCAUAGGUAUUUGAUAGCACAGAGACACACAAACAGAAACUAUAACACAGAAUUCCCCGUAUCUAAGGUGUCUUAAUAGCAGUUCAUAAUAUAAGAGAAUACAUGAUAUAAGAGAAUUCCCUUCAGUGCCUGUACCAUGGGUGAGUGAUUUGUCCACAUCAGCUAUUCCUAUACAGUGUACUCUCAUGUUUGCUCUAUGUGCUUUGAUUUUUAGGCUUGCAUUUUUAACAGCCUUCAUGUUUCUGCUUCUGUGACUAGAUGUAAGGUCAAAGAUCAUCAACCCUGGUUGAUGUCAGAUGAGGUUUCAAUUCUUUAUAUUUUAUUACUCUAAAUUUCUACAUAAUUUCCUACAGGUGCUUCUACUCAAACAGAGACAGCAUCGUUUUUUUUUCGUCUGGGGAUCCUUCUGAUGAAGACAUGGCUAUUUCUGGGGUUGACCUUGGCUUUAGCCCUGAUUCUGAUUCUCUCAGUCCCACGCUGUAUUCCCAGAGCAGCCUGGAAUAUUCGCCGGCCUCUCCACCACACUCUCAGUCAGUACGUUUACAUGGACAACAAUAAUCCGAUAUUAACCCAAUUAAGACAAUACUCUGAUUAAGAAACUAGCAUGUAAACAGCGAUUUUUAAUUACCUUAAUCCGAUUAAGGUCAUACCUGAAGUAAACACAAAUGGAAUUAAGACGUGUGGAGUACUCCUGUUUUAGUCGCAUUAUCGACGUGAGUUACAGACAUGUAAACACCUUAAUCACACUAUUAACGUCGUGUGGGAGUUUUCAUCGCAUUUUGCGACAGGACACGUACACACACGGCAGCGCUCAACCGUUUGACGGCAAACAAGAGAGCGCUUAGCUACUAUAGGCCAAUAGUAGGCGAAAUACAUGCAUCUUGGCUACUACAUAGAAGGUAAGUACGCGGUUUGGGACACAGCCCACGGCUUCAAGCAGUCGUCUAUUUGCAUGUACAGCAUGACAAAUAAUUAACUGCACUUGAAGCGUUCGUAAUUUUUAAAAAAAAUAAAAACACCCAAAACUGUAUACGGUACCAUAACAAAGACGAACUGUAUGUCGAUUCGUGAGAUUCUGGACGGGACGUCGGACUGCGUGGCGUGGUGACGUAAUGACGUGUACUGUUAAUCGAACUACGUUCUAUAACAUGUAAAACAGGAACAUGAAAGUAUUCUAAAAGCGACUCAUGUAAACAAUCAGAAUACUGUCUUAUUCAGAAUAAGGUCAAUAACUAGAUAACUGCUGUCCAUGUCAAUGUAGUCAGUAUCCUCUAUUUUCAUAUUCCCCUGACUAUUAUCCCACGAGCCCCGUUUCUUAACCUAGGUCAACCCUUUUCUCAAUAAACCUUUAUAUUUGCCCAUGCUUGUUUCCCAUCAUAAAUUUUAUCCAACACGUACCAUGGAGAAAUUAAAUAUAAUUUGUCACAUUCCAUGGCACAAGGUAGCUGCCAAAGAAUCUCCUUCUGAAAUACUUCGUAUUUGUUUGAAUACAAACAAAUAUUUUUUUUUUCCAUAAUGUUACAGUUGGAAUUUUUGUAUCAGAAAACAAUACUCAGUAUGUCAUUUGUGAUUUAUUUUUAUGUUCUUGUUAAAACGUGUCAGUAAUAAAUAUAACAUGAUAGUAAGAACUGAACUGUCACUUCAUUUAUCAAGUUCUUCCACCACGAAAAACCUGGGCUGGUCUUGGGCAUUAAACUCGGAUUUUGUCCCACUCCUGUGUUAUUGCAUUAUAUUUCACAUUAUUACAUUCAUACUAACUGUUACAUCUGAACAGUUUGUGUUGCGGUGCUACGCACCAACAGUUACGUGAUUCUUCUUCUCUGUGGUCAAAGACGACAGGCCGAUCAGCUGAAUAGUGGGCUGCGCCACCUAGUGUGCAGGCAUAAAAUGCAUUCUCUCUCAGCGACACCUAUCGUACGGGCGUGAAUUAGCUGACGACGAUCAAUCGUUUUUGCGUUCUGUGUGAAAACACCGUUCCUCAGUGUGAAAGGACCUUUAGGUUUUACAUUUACAUCACACUGGGCACCAGGGCCACUGAGUACCUUGAGUACACUUAGAUAAGCAGAGAGUGGAGGACUUUGAGUCCCAUGUUCAGAAUAAACAGGAGGUCUGGGCAAAUGCAUUACCCACCUUGGGAAGUUCAGGGUUGGAGGUAUCUGACCAUGAAACAGAGUAAACAUAGGGGUCCAAAGGUACACAGUAUAGCGCAGAUAAUGUUAGAAUGUUCACCCACCCAUGGUGGAAGUCUCAAGAGUAAAUAAAGAGGAGAUGGUAAUGGGGUCGCGUUAUAGACUCCUCAUUGUAAUGACGUAAACGAUGACGUAGAAAGCAAACCAAUGUGAAGAUAAUGGAAAAGUCUGAGCAGUGCUAAGUGGACAAACCUAAGACCUCCUUUCAAUGAUGGGAACUUACGCAGCUGGGAUAGAUUUGGAGGACUGUGAUUGGAUAGAGGCAGAUAAGAUGAACAUGCAUGAAAUGUAUAAGGAUAUUGUAACCAGUGGAUCCUUGGUGCAAAUUGCAUGUUCAUGGCACAUUUUGUAGGGAUGAACCGAAUGUUCAGCAACCGGAAUUAUUCAGCCGGACAAUGACGUUUUUGAUGACGCGAUCAAAUAGCAACCAGCGUAGAGUGAAAGGCACGCUUAACAAAUGCAGCGAACAUGUCGGCAGUGUGGAAGCUUUUUAGAGUGUCCGAGAAAGACGCAAAAAUGGCUGUUUGCGGACACUGCUCUGCUGAAUUGUCUAGAGAGGGUGCAUUUGAAAGGAGUUACAGAACAACAAGUUUAAUUUAUCAUUUAAAAUCAAGACACCCAGAACGGUGUGCAGAGUAUGAGAAAGACAUGGCGGAAAGGAAAGUUCCUCCUCCCAGAGUACUAGUCUGCUCCAUGCACAAGCACAGACAGCGAGAGACUGUUUAGCGCUGAAUCUCAUGUCCUCGAUGAGAAGAGGAACUGACUUUCAUGUGUGAAAGCAGAGAAGCUACUUUUCAUAUAGAAGAAGCUGCCACUUUUCCUGAAGAAGUAGGCUACGUCUAGGACGAUCAUUCAUUUGUUGUGGGUUCAUCCACUUUUUUUGCACUCUUUUCAAUGCACAUUUUUGUUGUAGACCUACAGAGGACGGUACAUUCUUUCAGCAGUCAGUUAUAGGCCUAAUAUAGGCUAUUCAAAAAGAGGGGCUCAAAAAUGGUCAAAUAAAAAUAUUUGUAUUUUACAAAUUUAUUCAUUGUAAGUUAUACUGUGCUUUGUUAAAAUAACGUUCACUGAAUGAUUAAAGAAUAUUCAGUGUUAAAUAAACGUUUAUAAAUUGUAGUUUUGUGAUUGAUUUUUUAUUUGAAAAGCAAGACAACAUUAAAAAAAAACCUGCAUUAGGUAUUCAGCCAAGUGUUUCAUUAAAUUUGGUUUCGGCUUCCCUAACUUGUUGACUAACCGUAUGGUUUAACAUUAUCUGUGCGCUAGCUGGGUCAAUGUAGGAAGGAGGAGUAGAAAAUCCUGCAGUUACACUCUUAAGCAUCAGUUUUAAGGGAUUAACGCAUUUCUUUGAUUAAUCAUGUGUUGAUAACUUUCACACCUUAUACAUUGGUUACACAUGAGCGAAUUAUACUUUGAUUAAAAUAUUCCAUAACGCCUGCCUUUAUUUUGUCCUAAUUGAUCAGCUAGUCAUUUAAAUUGUGUGCACAAUUGACAUAAAUAUAACUGUAUAUAAAAUCAUAGUUAUGCUAAUUAUUUUAUUUGUAGCCCAUCAAUUGAGGUUCACAUUAGUGAGUCUAUUUCUAUAUAAAUUUACACAAACUUGUCUUCACACAAUGAUUUGUAAAUAAAUGCGUUCAUAUCCAGCUUGAGAUACAGAAGCUAGGUGGAGACAUGCUGUGCAGUAGCCCUUGAAAAAUGUAUUCUGUGUGGAUCGGUUUAGGGAGGUUAUGCCUGCUUGUGAUCUGAAUACAUUCGAGGAAGAUAAUACUGUUGCUGUUAAUAAAUCGGAACUCUCUGCUCCAGUCAGAACAAACUGUCUUGCAAGUAUCGUUUUCUUGGACGCUGAAAAUUGACUGAUCUUCUACCAAUAAUCAUUUUAGAGAGAACAUGUUUAUAAGGAUACGCCUACAAUCAGCCCACCAGUAACACCAGACAACAGGGUAUGAAUAAAAAGGACAGAAUGGGUUUAGAUGAUAACAGGUAUCUUUAGAUGUGCACCUUCCGAGAGCUGUACUCACAAAAGGUGUUACUGUGAAUUCACACCUGCUAAGUCUCCUAAUUUCAACAACAACAGAAGAGGCUUGUACACAUCACAGCAAGCUCUUCAAUCCCGGCUCCUCACAGCUGGUUACUACAGAUUGCUCAUCAGAAGUGCAAGUGGCUCAUCAACAACAAGAAAAGAUUAAAGGCUUAUGUUCUUGUUGCAUGAUUCUUAUCCCCUCCCCCCUACGGAGAAUGUUAUUUUAAGAGUCAUAUUUCUCCCUCAGUCCUUCCUUCUUGCUAGGUCAUUUAACUAAUAGUUUAGACUUUUUGGUAGAGAAAUAUUAUACACAUAUAUAUUAUACACAUAUAUAU
This is a long non-coding RNA of Ictalurus punctatus (channel catfish), 6225 nucleotides long. The record is from Ensembl. Lineage: Eukaryota; Metazoa; Chordata; Actinopteri; Siluriformes; Ictaluridae.